AAACUUUCAACAAUGGAUCUCUUGGCUCUCGCAUCGAUGAAGAACGCAGCGUAAUGCGAUAAGUAAUAUGAAUUGCAGAAUUC
Molecule: ribosomal RNA, 83 nt
Filed under: uncultured Scutellospora
Lineage: Eukaryota; Fungi; Glomeromycota; Glomeromycetes; Diversisporales; Gigasporaceae
Description: partial 5.8S ribosomal RNA
Rfam family: 5.8S ribosomal RNA
About the family: 5.8S ribosomal RNA (5.8S rRNA) is a component of the large subunit of the eukaryotic ribosome.
Source: RNAcentral